Molecule: ribosomal RNA, 164 nt
Filed under: uncultured bacterium
Lineage: Bacteria
Description: partial 16S rRNA
Rfam family: Bacterial small subunit ribosomal RNA
Source: RNAcentral
UAGGGAAUCUUCCACAAUGGACGAAAGUCUGAUGGAGCAACGCCGCGUGAGUGAAGAAGGGUUUCGGCUCGUAAAACUCUGUUGUUAAAGAAGAACAUAUCUGAGAGUAACUGUUCAGGUAUUGACGGUAUUUAACCAGACAGCCAGGGCUAACUACGUACCAG